Molecule: ribosomal RNA, 403 nt
Filed under: uncultured bacterium
Lineage: Bacteria
Description: partial 16S ribosomal RNA
Rfam family: Bacterial small subunit ribosomal RNA
Source: RNAcentral
AUUGAACGCUGGCGGCAGGCCUAACACAUGCAAGUCGAGCGAGCGGCGGACGGGUGAGUAAUGUAUGGGGACUGCCCGAUAGAGGGGGAUAACUACUGGAAACGGUGGCUAAUACCGCAUACUAUCGGCUAACCCAUCGGGGAUUCGCUAGUAGGUGGGGUAAAGGCUCACCAAGGCGACGAUCUCUAGCUGGUCUGAGAGGAGGAUCAGCAACACUGGGACUGAGACACGUGCCAGACGCCUAUGGAGGAAUCAGUGGGGAAUAUUGCACAAUGGGCGCAAGUCUGAUGCAGCCAUGCCGCUUGUAUGAAGAAGGCCUUAGGGUUGUAAAGUACUUUCAGCGUGGAGGCGUUACCCGAAGAAGAAGCACCGGCUAACUCCGUGCCAGCAGCUGCGGUAAUAC